CGAAGGGGGCUAGCGUUGCUCGGAAUUACUGGGCGUAAAGGGAGCGUAGGCGGAUAGUUCAGUCAGAGGUGAAAGCCCAGGGCUCAACCUUGGAACUGCCUUUGAUACUGGCUAUCUUGAGUUUGGGAGAGGUGUGUGGAACUCCGAGUGUAGAGGUGAAAUUCGUAGAUAUUCGGAAGAACACCAGUGGCGAAGGCGACACACUGGCCCAAUACUGACGCUGAGGCUCGAAAGCGUGGGGAGCAAACAGGAUUAGAUACCCUGGUAGUCCACGCCGUAAACGAUGAGUGCUAGUUGUCGGCAUGCAUGCAUGUCGGUGACGCAGCUAACGCAUUAAGCACUCCGCCUGGGGAGUACGGUCGCAAGAUUA
RNAcentral lists this ribosomal RNA (370 nucleotides) under uncultured organism. RNAcentral describes it as "bacterial SSU rRNA". It matches the Rfam family "Bacterial small subunit ribosomal RNA", at positions 526 to 896 of the family's 1533-position model. The record is from RNAcentral.